GCGGGCCCGGCCCUGCACUUCCGCCCCGGUCCGGCCCUCCCCGACGGCCCGGGUGGCGGCAGGACCGAAAACUGAAUAUUUGGUCCCGUGGACUUUCUGGUCACCCUAUGAGGUAGAUUUACUUUGUCUUGAGUCGUGUGGAAGGACUCUGAAGUCACAAGUUUUUAAGACUCUCAGGCUUACUGUGGAUCUGGAUUCUAAGGCAACACUUCCUUGAAGAAACAAGCUUACAGGCAAAUCACUUCUGUCCUUAUGUAACAGUCUGUGGCCCAGACCCAGGCAAGUAGUAAAUAUUUACCUUCACGCUGGAGCCAAGAUCGCUGCGGGGAGUCCCAC
Molecule: long non-coding RNA, 336 nt
Filed under: Theropithecus gelada (gelada)
Lineage: Eukaryota; Metazoa; Chordata; Mammalia; Primates; Cercopithecidae
Description: lncRNA (ENSTGEG00000012125.1)
Source: RNAcentral